RNAcentral lists this ribosomal RNA (254 nucleotides) under uncultured bacterium. Its description in RNAcentral is "partial 16S ribosomal RNA". It matches the Rfam family "Bacterial small subunit ribosomal RNA", at positions 524 to 776 of the family's 1533-position model. The record is from RNAcentral.
UACGUAGGGUGCAAGCGUUGUCCGGAAUUAUUGGGCGUAAAGAGCUUGUAGGCGGUUUGUCGCGUCUGCUGUGAAAUCUCAAGGCUCAACCUUGAGCUUGCAGUGGGUACGGGCAGACUAGAGUGUGGUAGGGGAGACUGGAAUUCCUGGUGUAGCGGUGAAAUGCGCAGAUAUCAGGAGGAACACCGAUGGCGAAGGCAGGUCUCUGGGCCACUACUGACGCUGAGAAGCGAAAGCAUGGGGGAGCGAACAGG